Molecule: microRNA precursor, 67 nt
Filed under: Colobus angolensis palliatus
Lineage: Eukaryota; Metazoa; Chordata; Mammalia; Primates; Cercopithecidae
Description: miRNA (ENSCANG00000011033.1)
Source: RNAcentral
GGCCAGGCCCAUCAGGGCUUGUGGAAUGGGAAGAAGGGAUCCUUCUGCAGGCCUGCUGGGUGCGGCU